AUGCUCACUUCAGUGCACAUAUACUAAAAUUGGAAUACAGAGAUUAGCAUGACCCCUGCACAAGGAUGACAUGCCAAUUUGUGAAGAAGCCUUCCAUAUUUUU
RNAcentral lists this small nuclear RNA (103 nucleotides) under Pteropus vampyrus (large flying fox). The record is from RNAcentral. Lineage: Eukaryota; Metazoa; Chordata; Mammalia; Chiroptera; Pteropodidae.